This 914-nucleotide ribosomal RNA is filed under the name uncultured bacterium. RNAcentral describes it as "bacterial SSU rRNA". It matches the Rfam family "Bacterial small subunit ribosomal RNA", at positions 33 to 932 of the family's 1533-position model. The record is from RNAcentral.
ACGCUGGCGGCGUGCCUAAUACAUGCAAGUAGAACGCUGAAGGAGGAGCUUGCUUCUCCGGAUGAGUUGCGAACGGGUGAGUAACGCGUAGGUAACCUGCCUGGUAGCGGGGGAUAACUAUUGGAAACGAUAGCUAAUACCGCAUAAGAGUAGAUGUUGCAUGACAUUUGCUUAAAAGGUGCAAUUGCAUCACUACCAGAUGGACCUGCGUUGUAUUAGCUAGUUGGUGGGGUAACGGCUCACCAAGGCGACGAUACAUAGCCGACCUGAGAGGGUGAUCGGCCACACUGGGACUGAGACACGGCCCAGACUCCUACGGGAGGCAGCAGUAGGGAAUCUUCGGCAAUGGACGGAAGUCUGACCGAGCAACGCCGCGUGAGUGAAGAAGGUUUUCGGAUCGUAAAGCUCUGUUGUAAGAGAAGAACGAGUGUGAGAGUGGAAAGUUCACACUGUGACGGUAUCUUACCAGAAAGGGACGGCUAACUACGUGCCAGCAGCCGCGGUAAUACGUAGGUCCCGAGCGUUGUCCGGAUUUAUUGGGCGUAAAGCGAGCGCAGGCGGUUAGAUAAGUCUGAAGUUAAAGGCUAUGGCUUAACCAUAGUACGCUUUGGAAACUGUUUAACUCGAGUGCAAGAGGGGAGAGUGGAAUUCCAUGUGUAGCGGUGAAAUGCGUAGAUAUAUGGAGGAACACCGGUGGCGAAAGCGGCUCUCUGGCUUGUAACUGACGCUGAGGCUCGAAAGCGUGGGGAGCAACAGGAUUAGAUACCCUGGUAGUCCACGCCGUAAACGAUGAGUGCUAGGUGUUAGACCCUUUCCGGGGUUUAGUGCCGCAGCUAACGCAUUAAGCACUCCGCCUGGGGAGUACGACCGCAAGGUUGAAACUCAAAGGAAUUGACGGGGGCCCGCACAAGCGG